UGGCUAGAAGUUGUUGGUUUACUGGA
This 26-nucleotide non-coding RNA is filed under the name Homo sapiens (human). Lineage: Eukaryota; Metazoa; Chordata; Mammalia; Primates; Hominidae. The record is from RNAcentral.